GAUGAACGCUGGCGGCGUGCCUAAUACAUGCAAGUCGAGCGAACAGACGAGGAGCUUGCUCCUCUGACGUUAUCGGCGGACGGGUGAGUAACACGUGGAUAACCUACCUAUAAGACUGGGAUACCUUCGGGAAACCGGAGCUAAUACCGGAUAAUAUAUUGAACCGCAUGGUUCAAUAGUGAAAGACGGUUUUGCUGUCACUUAUAGAUGGAUCCGCGCCGCAUUAGCUAGUUGGUAAGGUAACGGCUUACCAAGGCAACGAUGCGUAGACGACCUGAGAGGGUGAACGGCCACACUGGAACUGAGACACGGUCCAGACUCCUACGGGAGGCAGCAGUAGGGAAUCUUCCGCAAUGGGCGAAAGCUUGACGGAGCAACGCCGCGUGAGUGAUGAAGGUCUUCGGAUCGUAAAACUCUGUUAUUAGGGAAGAACAAAUGUGUAAGUAACUAUGCACGUCUUGACGGUACCUAAUCAGAAAGCCACGGCUAACUACGUG
RNAcentral lists this ribosomal RNA (497 nucleotides) under uncultured bacterium. RNAcentral describes it as "partial 16S ribosomal RNA". It matches the Rfam family "Bacterial small subunit ribosomal RNA", at positions 28 to 507 of the family's 1533-position model. The record is from RNAcentral.